AUUACACCACUCAAGCUAUGCUUGGUAUUGGGCGUCCGUCCUUUCGGGGGCGCGCCUUAAAGACCUCGGCGAGGCCUCACCGGCUUUAGGCGUAGUAGAAUUUAUUCGAACGUCUGUCAAAGGAGAGGAACUCUGCCGACUGAAACCUUUUAUUUUUCUAGGUUGACCUCGGAUCAGGUAGGGAUACCCGCUGAACUUAA
This 200-nucleotide unclassified non-coding RNA is filed under the name soil metagenome. RNAcentral's name for it is "partial contains internal transcribed spacer 2 and large subunit ribosomal RNA". The record is from RNAcentral.